CCAGGCAAUGUUGGGGUGCGGCGUACGGCUCAGUAAAACGUGGCUAACCUACCCUAGGGAUGGGGAUAACCCCGGGAAACUGGGGAUAAACCCCAAUAGGAGAAGAGUGCUGGAAUGCCUCCUCUCCGAAAGGAUGCCAAGAACAUGCCUCUUGGCAUCGCCCUAGGAUGGGGCCACGUCCCAUCAGGUAGUUGGUGGGGUAAUGGCCCACCAAGCCUAUAACGGGUACGGGCCGUGAGAGCGGGAGCCCGGAGAUGGGCACUGAGACAAGGGCCCAGGCCCUACGGGGCGCAGCAGGCGCGAAACCUACACAAUGUGCGAAAGCACGAUGUGGUCACCCCCAGUGCCACCCGCUGAGGGUGGCUUUUCUCCGGUGUAAAAAGCCGGAGGCAAUAAGCGGGGGGCAAGUCUGGUGUCAGCCGCCGCGGUAAUACCAGCUCCGCGAGUGGUCGGGGCGUUUAUUGGGCCUAAAGCGUCCGUAGCCGGCCCGGUAAGUUUUCAGCUAAAGCCCAGGGCUUAACCCUGGGAAGGCUGAAAAUACUGCCGGGCUAGGGGGCGGGAGAGGCUGAGGGUACUCCUGGGGUAGGGGCGAAAUCCUAUAAUCCCAGGAGGACCACCAGUGG
This 623-nucleotide ribosomal RNA is filed under the name uncultured archaeon. Its description in RNAcentral is "bacterial SSU rRNA". It matches the Rfam family "Archaeal small subunit ribosomal RNA", at positions 58 to 666 of the family's 1478-position model. The record is from RNAcentral.